Molecule: long non-coding RNA, 806 nt
Organism: Carassius gibelio (silver crucian carp)
Lineage: Eukaryota; Metazoa; Chordata; Actinopteri; Cypriniformes; Cyprinidae
Exons: 4
Source: RefSeq, a predicted model, not a curated record
ACAGCUGGAAGGCAGUAACUGGCAGCCGGAUGGUAGGCGGGACCUGCCAUUCGGUGGGAGCCAAUCAGUAUCGACCAACGUGGGCGCAACCAAUCAGAUAUAACUGCACCCGAACGCUUCAGUAAUGGUUGCGAUUGAUCAAACGUUGCCAGAUGCUGUUCUGUUGGAAAUUCUUCUUUACGUGAUCCUGGAGGAGGGGUGAUGCUACAUUACUAAGUCCGUCUUUGGUUCGUUCCAAAUUCAGAAGUCUGCUGUACUGUAUACAGACUCCUUUCGAAAGAGGGCACAAUCCAGCUGGCUUGACUGAGUAUCUUCUUUUACAUAUUUGAUUAGAGGUUUAAAAAGGUGGAACAAAAUGGAGAACAAGUCUAAGCCAUGUCAGGAAUUCAACAAAAUGUACACCCUGCAGACACUGCGACGAGGUUUACAACAACUGCUUACCAGGUCACUGCAGUCACCCACAUCCAGUACGUAUCCAGACCAGAUGGUGGAUCAGCACCUAGAAAGGACCUCUACAGCCCUGAAAGACAGCGGAGACCAGGACAACUAGAGCCCCAGAUACAGAUCCCCUGUAAAGACCUUGUUUUUUCUCCAUUUUGUCACCGGUGGAGUUUUGGUUCCUUCUCGCCUCUGGCUUGCUUCGUUGUGGUCACUUCAUUUACAGUGAUAUCAUUGACAUGAUCGCAAACGAUUCCACAGAUACUAUUUAAACUGAACCGAGCUGAAGGAUGACAUCACUGAAUUGAAUGAUAAACUGCCUUUUAAACUGACUACAAACUGAGUUUACUAAUGUCCUUCUGCAUUAU